This 253-nucleotide ribosomal RNA is filed under the name uncultured bacterium. RNAcentral describes it as "partial 16S ribosomal RNA". It matches the Rfam family "Bacterial small subunit ribosomal RNA", at positions 524 to 776 of the family's 1533-position model. The record is from RNAcentral.
UACGUAGGGUGCAAGCGUUGUCCGGAAUUAUUGGGCGUAAAGAGCUCGUAGGCGGUUCGGCGCGUCGGCUGUGAAAACCCGGAGCUCAACUCCGGGCCUGCAGUCGAUACGGGCGGACUUGAGUGUUGCAGGGGAGACUGGAAUUCCUGAUGUAGCGGUGAAAUGCGCAGAUAUCAGGAGGAACACCGGUGGCGAAGGCGGGUCUCUGGGCAACUACUGACGCUGAGGAGCGAAAGCGUGGGGAGCGAACAGG